CCGUCCGAGACUAACGCGUAAACGCGCCGCCUGGGGAGUACGAUCGCAAGAUAAAACUCAAAAGAAAAUUGACGGGGACCCGCACCAAGCGGUGGAGUAUUUGGCUAAUUCGAUGCAACGCGAAGGACCCUUCCCUGGGUUUGACAUGCUUGUCGUAGUUCUGCGAAAGCAGGGACGUCAGCUCGGCUGGACAUGCACAGGGUGCUGCAUUGGCUGUCGUCAGCUCGUGUCGUGAGAUGUUUGGGUAAAGUCCCCGCAACCGAGCGCAACCCCCUGUGAAAUAGUUUGCCAGCACGUAAAUGGUGGGGGACUCUAUUUCAGACUGCCCCAGAUCAACUGGGGAGGAAAGGGUGGGGACGACGUCAAGUCAGUAUGGCCCUUAUACCCCAGGGCUGCGCACGUACUACAAUGCCCAGCACAAUGUGAACCGAUACCGCGAGGUGGAGGAAAUCCUUAAAACUGGGCUCAGUUCGGAUUGGAGGCUGCAAUUCGCCUCCAUGAAGUUGGAAUCGCUAGUAAUGGCUCAUCAGCUACGGAGCCGUGAAUACGUUCCCGGGUCUUGUACACACCGCCCGUCACAUCAUGGAAGCCCGCAGUGCC
Molecule: ribosomal RNA, 600 nt
Filed under: uncultured bacterium
Lineage: Bacteria
Description: bacterial SSU rRNA
Rfam family: Bacterial small subunit ribosomal RNA
Source: RNAcentral